GGGGCAGGCUAGCCGCUAGCGAUGCUAGUCGAGCGGUAGCACAGAGAGCUUGCUCUCGGGUGACGAGCGGCGGACGGGUGAGUAAUGUCUGGGAAACUGCCUGAUGGAGGGGGAUAACUACUGGAAACGGUAGCUAAUACCGCAUAACGUCGCAAGACCAAAGUGGGGGACCUUCGGGCCUCAUGCCAUCAGAUGUGCCCAGAUGGGAUUAGCUAGUAGGUGGGGUAACGGCUCACCUAGGCGACGAUCCCUAGCUGGUCUGAGAGGAUGACCAGCCACACUGGAACUGAGACACGGUCCAGACUCCUACGGGAGGCAGCAGUGGGGAAUAUUGCACAAUGGGCGCAAGCCUGAUGCAGCCAUGCCGCGUGUGUGAAGAAGGCCUUCGGGUUGUAAAGCACUUUCAGCGGGGAGGAAGGCGUUGAGGUUAAUAACCUUAUCGAUUGACGUUACCCGCAGAAGAAGCACCGGCUAACUCCGUGCCAGCAGCCGCGGUAAUACGGAGGGUGCAAGCGUUAAUCGGAAUUACUGGGCGUAAAGCGCACGCAGGCGGUCUGUCAAGUCGGAUGUGAAAUCCCCGGGCUCAACCUGGGAACUGCAUUCGAAACUGGCAGGCUAGAGUCUUGUAGAGGGGGGUAGAAUUCCAGGUGUAGCGGUGAAAUGCGUAGAGAUCUGGAGGAAUACCGGUGGCGAAGGCGGCCCCCUGGACAAAGACUGACGCUCAGGUGCGAAGCGUGGGGAGCAAACAGGAUUAGAUACCCUGGUAGUCCACGCCGUAAACGAUGUCGAUUUGGAGGUUGUGCCCUUGAGGCGUGGCUUCCGGAGCUAACGCGUUAAAUCGACCGCCUGGGGAGUACGGCCGCAAGGUUAAAACUCAAAUGAAUUGACGGGGGCCCGCACAAGCGGUGGAGCAUGUGGUUUAAUUCGAUGCAACGCGAAGAACCUUACCUGGUCUUGACAUCCACAGAACUUACCAGAGAUGGAUUGGUGCCUUCGGGAC
Molecule: ribosomal RNA, 1000 nt
Filed under: Klebsiella pneumoniae
Lineage: Bacteria; Pseudomonadati; Pseudomonadota; Gammaproteobacteria; Enterobacterales; Enterobacteriaceae
Description: bacterial SSU rRNA
Rfam family: Bacterial small subunit ribosomal RNA
Source: RNAcentral